Long non-coding RNA from Mytilus californianus (California mussel), 2033 nucleotides. RefSeq lists it as uncharacterized. NCBI's taxonomy places the organism in Eukaryota, Metazoa, Mollusca, Bivalvia, Mytilida, Mytilidae. The record is from RefSeq and is a predicted model, not a curated record. The transcript is spliced from 2 exons.
CUCAUUUAAUCUCAAACUUUUUAUAUCAUCAACAUUAUAUGAUAUUAAUAAAUAAUGGCAUUUUCGUGUAUAUAACAUAACAGUAUAUUUAACAACUUUAUAUCUCAAUAUAUACAACAUUUUAAGUCAUAAAAAUAUUUUUAUAUCAACUUAAAGAAGAUUUUAAAGAGCUGAAUAACACAUACUACUUAUUGAGUUCUUCCAUCUUAUUGUUCAUAUGAACUUGGUAAUUCACAAUAAACUAUUUUACAAAUAAUGACUUGUCACAAAAAAGACAUGGUGUACAAGAGACAAAACUUUAUGAGAACCAUAAGAAUAACUUCUCAUUUUCUUUCUGAAAAUUGGAUGCUACAAGUGAAUUUCAAAAUUAUGAGACCCUUAUUGCAAAUAUGUAUAUGGUAAGAAACAGGUCUAUAAAACACUAAUGUAAUAAAAUAAAAGACAGGCAAUAGAAAAUGAAUAAGUAAUUCCAUUAACCCUGUUAACAAUGUUUAUGUAACAAAUAGACAGAGUCAAAGACAGAACAAAGAAGAGCACCUUUUAAGAUGAUAUAAUUAAUUGCUAUGGGGAUUACAAAACAAAUUUUAUAUUCAUAAUACAACAAAUUCUUCUAAACGCUGCCAUUUUGGGGAUUUUGAUUAAAAUAUAUAUGAGCACGAAUCUAAUUUAUACAGGUUAAAAUUAUGUAGAAACAAAUAACAAUCUUCUUUUUAUCAUGCAGUGAUUUUAAGACCAAAUUUUAAAAAAAGAAACAAAUUAUUAAAAAACUAAAAAACAGAGAGUUACAAUUAUUAAAGAAAUAAUCUUUUGCUGAUCAAUUGUGAACUUUAUAUUUUAAAAUUCAUUACAGUACUGCAGCAAAGAUUAAAAUGUGUACAAUACUUAUAAAAAGGUAAGUGCAUUAUUGUUAUAAAAAUCAUAAACAACCUUGAAAAUGAAUCACAGUAAGAAAUAUUAAAGCAAUUUUUAGAAAAGCAUUCAUUAUUGAUACUGUAAAUAAACUCAUCAUAGAUACCAGUAUCAAAAUUAUGUACACUAGACACUUUUUGUUUAUUAAGCCUCACCAAUGACCUAGCAAGACCCUCAUAGUUAGUCAAGGUCGUUAAAAAAAAAACCUCAUCAUCACCAAUGACGCUUGAGUCAAAAUAGUUAAAAAGGCCAAAAUAAAGUACAAAGUUGAAGAGCAUUGAAGACCAAAAGUUCUGAAAAAUUAAAUUAACUUAUUUUCAGGGAUAUUUUUUUGCAUCUAACAAUUUCAAGCUAACUUCAUAGCAAUUUGAUUUCACAGUCAUUUUACUUUGUCAACAUAUACAUUCAAAAAUACAUCAGUGCUGGACAUAUUCACUACAAAUAAUGUUCAUGUUAUUUUUCUACAUGGAAAAUUAGUUUGUUUACAGUUCACCAAAAAUAAAAAUGAAUAGCAUUAGAAUGAUGAACUGUGAGCUAUUGCCCUACACAAAUACUCGUCUUUAGUAUUUGGUAAUAUGAAGUCGAUCAGCAAUAGAUGUCAGAAUUCAUCACUGUGUAUAGCAUGCAGAUAAGCUUAUGACCAAUUUCAAAUAGCCCUGAUUCAUUAUUCCUGAGAAAAUGUGAAGAAAUUUUUAUACAUGGUCAUUACAUGUAAGAAUAUGUCAGUAUUUUGUAAGCAGGGAGUUAAUGGUUAUUUGAAUGUGAAAAUACAUUACAUGCAACGUGAUACCAAAUUUGAGAUCACUCUGAUGUCUAGUUCCAAGGAAAAUGUGAUAAAAAUUUUAUGAAACAGACAGAGUAAACCAUUAUUCCCCCUAAUCAGCACCGAUAUAUUAUCAUGUUAUUAACUUCCGAGUAUCAAAAUGGAUUUCAAUUUAAAAGCAUUCAAAAAAGCAAUGAGAAAACUAUAUCAACAUUUCAUAUUACAAUAAUAGCAUAGUCAAAUCUAUAUGGUUAAGAUAAUAUCAUUUGAUAAAACAUAAAAACAUAAAAACAUAAAAUGUAAAAAUAUCAGAUCAUGAUUUCUAAAAUUGUAACCAGAAUAUUAAAAAGGUGACAACAGU